GACGAACGCUGGCGGCGUGCCUAAUACAUGCAAGUCGAACGAACUCUGGUAUUGAUUGGUGCUUGCAUCAUGAUUUACAUUUGAGUGAGUGGCGAACUGGUGAGUAACACGUGGGAAACCUGCCCAGAAGCGGGGGAUGACACCUGGAAACAGAUGCUAAUACCGCAUAACAACUUGGACCGCAUGGUCCGAGUUUGAAAGAUGGCUUCGGCUAUCACUUUUGGAUGGUCCCGCGGCGUAUUAGCUAGAUGGUGGGGUAACGGCUCACCAUGGCAAUGAUACGUAGCCGACCUGAGAGGGUAAUCGGCCACAUUGGGACUGAGACACGGCCCAAACUCCUACGGGAGGCAGCAGUAGGGAAUCUUCCACAAUGGACGAAAGUCUGAUGGAGCAACGCCGCGUGAGUGAAGAAGGGUUUCGGCUCGUAAAACUCUGUUGUUAAAGAAGAACAUAUCUGAGAGUAACUGUUCAGGUAUUGACGGUAUUUAACCAGAAAGCCACGGCUAACUACGUGCCAGCAGCCGCGGUAAUACGUAGGUGGCAAGCGUUGUCCGGAUUUAUUGGGCGUAAAGCGAGCGCAGGCGGUUUUUUAAGUCUGAUGUGAAAGCUUCGGCUCAACCGAAGAAGUGCAUCGGAAACUGGGAAACUUGAGUGCAGAAGAGGACAGUGGAACUCCAUGUGUAGCGGUGAAAUGCGUAGAUAUAUGGAAGAACACCAGUGGCGAAGGCGGCUGUCUGGUCUGUAACUGACGCUGAGGCUCGAAAGUAUGGGUAGCAAACAGGAUUAGAUACCCUGGUAGUCCAUACCGUAAACGAUGAAUGCUAAGUGUUGGAGGGUUUCCGCCCUUCAGUGCUGCAGCUAACGCAUUAAGCAUUCCGCCUGGGGAGUACGGCCGCAAGGCUGAAACUCAAAGGAAUUGACGGGGGCCCGCACAAGCGGUGGAGCAUGUGGUUUAAUUCGAAGCUACGCGAAGAACCUUACCAGGUCUUGACAUACUAUGCAAAUCUAAGAGAUUAGACGUUCCCUUCGGGGACAUGGAUACAGGUGGUGCAUGGUUGUCGUCAGCUCGUGUCGUGAGAUGUUGGGUUAAGUCCCGCAACGAGCGCAACCCUUAUUAUCAGUUGCCAGCAUUAAGUUGGGCACUCUGGUGAGACUGCCGGUGACAAACCGGAGGAAGGUGGGGAUGACGUCAAAUCAUCAUGCCCCUUAUGACCUGGGCUACACACGUGCUACAAUGGAUGGUACAACGAGUUGCGAACUCGCGAGAGUAAGCUAAUCUCUUAAAGCCAUUCUCAGUUCGGAUUGUAGGCUGCAACUCGCCUACAUGAAGUCGGAAUCGCUAGUAAUCGCGGAUCAGCAUGCCGCGGUGAAUACGUUCCCGGGCCUUGCACACACCGCCCGUCACACCAUGAGAGUUUGUAACACCCAAAGUCGGUGGGGUAACCUUUUAGGAACCAGCCGCCUAAGGUGGGACAGAUGAUUAGGGUG
This 1488-nucleotide ribosomal RNA is filed under the name Lactiplantibacillus plantarum. Its description in RNAcentral is "bacterial SSU rRNA". It matches the Rfam family "Bacterial small subunit ribosomal RNA". The record is from RNAcentral. Lineage: Bacteria; Bacillati; Bacillota; Bacilli; Lactobacillales; Lactobacillaceae.